CCUACGGGUGGCUGCAGUGAGGAAUAUUGGUCAAUGGGCUUACGCCUGAACCAGCCAAGUCGCGUGAGGGAAGACUGCCCUAUGGGUUGUAAACCUCUUUUGUCAGGGAGCAAUUGGCGCUACGUGUAGCGUUAUCGAGAGUACCUGAAGAAAAAGCAUCGGCUAACUCCGUGCCAGCAGCCGCGGUAAUACGUAGGGGGCAAGCGUUGUCCGGAAUGACUGGGCGUAAAGGGAGUGUAGGCGGCCUUGUAAGUUAGAUGUGAAAUCCUACGGCUUAACCGUAGAACUGCAACUAAAACUGUGAGGCUGGAGUGCAGGAGAGGUGAGUGGAAUUCCUAGUGUAGCGGUGGAAUGCGUAGAUAUUAGGAGGAACACCAGAGGCGAAGGCGACUCACUGGACUGUAACUGACGCUGAGGCUCGAAAGCGUGGGGAGCAAACAGGAUUAGAUACCCUAGUAGUC
Molecule: ribosomal RNA, 461 nt
Filed under: uncultured bacterium
Lineage: Bacteria
Description: partial 16S ribosomal RNA
Rfam family: Bacterial small subunit ribosomal RNA
Source: RNAcentral